This 283-nucleotide ribosomal RNA is filed under the name Escherichia coli. RNAcentral's name for it is "partial 16S ribosomal RNA". It matches the Rfam family "Bacterial small subunit ribosomal RNA", at positions 1 to 280 of the family's 1533-position model. Lineage: Bacteria; Pseudomonadati; Pseudomonadota; Gammaproteobacteria; Enterobacterales; Enterobacteriaceae. RNAcentral also lists the same sequence under 1 other name. The record is from RNAcentral.
AAAUUGAAGAGUUUGAUCAUGGCUCAGAUUGAACGCUGGCGGCAGGCCUAACACAUGCAAGUCGAACGGUAACAGGAAGCAGCUUGCUGCUUCGCUGACGAGUGGCGGACGGGUGAGUAAUGUCUGGGAAACUGCCUGAUGGAGGGGGAUAACUACUGGAAACGGUAGCUAAUACCGCAUAAUGUCGCAAGACCAAAGAGGGGGACCUUCGGGCCUCUUGCCAUCGGAUGUGCCCAGAUGGGAUUAGCUUGUUGGUGGGGUAACGGCUCACCAAGGCGACGAU